Ceratotherium simum simum (southern white rhinoceros) is the source of this 231-nucleotide non-coding RNA. Lineage: Eukaryota; Metazoa; Chordata; Mammalia; Perissodactyla; Rhinocerotidae. The record is from RefSeq and is a predicted model, not a curated record.
GGAGGGGUAUGUUUGCUUGUCUUUGCCUGAGCAAAAAAUGGGGGGACAUGACGUGUCAGGGUGGGGACAUGAGGGCAUGAGGCCUCCUGUCUCAGUCCUUCAAGGUCCAAAAAGAAAUGAGCUCAAGGUGCCAGCCACGCCUCCAAAUCCCAUGUACCAUCAUACUCAUCAGUCUACACCCCAAGAAGCCAUUGUGGCUUCAUCAAGCCUGGCCUGGGCAGGCUUGCUGGA